UGGGGAAUAUUGCGCAAUGGCCGCAAGGCUGACGCAGCGACGCCGCGUGUGGGAGGAAGCCCUUCGGGGUGUAAACCACUGUCAGGGGGGACGAACCCCGGACGGGCGAAUAGCCCGGACGGCUGACGGUACCUCCAGAGGAAGCACCGGCUAACUCCGUGCCAGCAGCCGCGGUAAGACGGAGGGUGCAAGCGUUGUUCGGAAUUACUGGGCGUAAAGCGCGGGCAGGUGGUCCUUUAAGUCCCUUGUGAAAUUCCGGGGCUCAACUCCGGAUGUGCGUGGGAUACUGGGGGACUGGAGACUGGUAGAGGCGAGCGGAAUUCCUGGUGUAGCGGUGGAAUGCGUAGAUAUCAGGAAGAACACCGGUGGCGAAGGCGGCUCGCUGGGCCAGUUCUGACACUCAUCCGCGAAAGCGUGGGGAGCAAACAGGAUUAGAUACCCCCGUAGUCC
This 450-nucleotide ribosomal RNA is filed under the name uncultured prokaryote. RNAcentral's name for it is "bacterial SSU rRNA". It matches the Rfam family "Bacterial small subunit ribosomal RNA", at positions 355 to 796 of the family's 1533-position model. The record is from RNAcentral.